RNAcentral lists this transfer RNA (66 nucleotides) under Podura aquatica (water springtail). Its description in RNAcentral is "tRNA-Asp". The record is from RNAcentral. Lineage: Eukaryota; Metazoa; Arthropoda; Collembola; Poduromorpha; Poduridae.
GAGAAAUUAAUUUAACGAAAAUAUAGGUGUGUCAACCCUAAAAUAAAAUUUUAAUUUUAUUUUUCA